AUUGAACGCUGGCGGAAUGCUUUACACAUGCAAGUCGAACGGCAGCACGGGGGCAGCCCUGGUGGCGAGUGGCGAACGGGUGAGUAAUACAUCGGAACGUGCCCGGUCGUGGGGGAUAACGUAGCGAAAGUUACGCUAAUACCGCAUACGAUCUGAGGAUGAAAGCGGGGGACCUUCGGGCCUCGCGCGAUCGGAGCGGCCGAUGUCAGAUUAGGUAGUUGGUGGGGUAAAGGCCUACCAAGCCGACGAUCUGUAGCUGGUCUGAGAGGACGACCAGCCACACUGGGACUGAGACACGGCCCAGACUCCUACGGGAGGCAGCAGUGGGGAAUUUUGGACAAUGGGCGCAAGCCUGAUCCAGCCAUUCCGCGUGCAGGACGAAGGCCUUCGGGUUUUAAACUGCUUUUGUACGGAACGAAAAGGCUCUGGCUAAUACCUGGGGCUCAUGACGGUACCGUAAGAAUAAGCACCGGCUAACUACGUG
This 484-nucleotide ribosomal RNA is filed under the name uncultured bacterium. RNAcentral describes it as "partial 16S ribosomal RNA". It matches the Rfam family "Bacterial small subunit ribosomal RNA", at positions 30 to 507 of the family's 1533-position model. The record is from RNAcentral.